This 1567-nucleotide long non-coding RNA is filed under the name Homo sapiens (human). Its description in RNAcentral is "long intergenic non-protein coding RNA 342". Lineage: Eukaryota; Metazoa; Chordata; Mammalia; Primates; Hominidae. The record is from RNAcentral.
ACAUGGAUGAAGCUGGAAGCCAUAAACUUCAGCCAAUUAACACAGGAACAGGAAACCAAACACCACAUGUUCUCAUAAGUGGGAACUGAACAAUGAGAACACAUGGACACGGAGGGGCAGAACACACACCGGAGCCUGUUGGGAAGGUAGGGGGAAGGAGAGCAUCAAGAUAAAUAGCUAAUGCAUGUGGGGCUUAAUACCUAGGUGAUAGGUUGAUAGGUGCAGCAAACCACCAUGGCACAUGUUUAACUAUGUAACAAACCUGCACAUCCUGUACAUGUAUCCUGGAACUUAAAAUAAAAUAGAAAAGACAAAGAAGGAUAUUACAUAAUGGCAAAGGCUUCAAUUCAACAAGAAGACCUAACUAUCCUAAAUAUAUAUUCAUCCAACACAGGAGCACCCAGAUUCAUAAGUAAAGUUCUUAGAGACCUACAAAGUAUGUUUCACAGUAAUAGUGGGAGACUUUCACACUCCAAUGACAGUAUUAGAUCAUUGAGGCAAAAAAAUGAACAAAGAUAUUCAGGACCUGAACUCAACAUUGGAUCAAAUGGAUCUGAUAGACCUUUACAGAACUCUGCACUCAAAAACAACAGAAUAUGCAUUCCUCACAUCAUCAUAUGCCACAUACUCUAAAAUCAACCACAUAAUUGGACAUAAAGCAAUCCUCAGCAAAUGCAAAACAACUGAACUCAUACCAAAUACACACUGAGAUCACAGUGCAGUAAAAAUAGAAGACUAAGAAAAUUGCUGAAAAUCAUGCAAUUACAUGGAAAUCAAUCAACAUGCUCCUGAAUGACUUUUUAAUAAAUAAUGAAAUUAAGGCAGAAAACAAGAAGUUCUUUGAAAAUAAUGAGAACAAAGUUGCAACAUACUAGAGCCUCUGGACAUAGCUAAGGCAAUGUUAGGAGGGAAAUUUAUAGCACUAAAUCCCACAUCAAAAAGUUAGGAAGAACUCAAAUUAAUAACCUAACAUCACAACGGAAAGAACUAGAGAAGCAAGACAAAACCCCAAAGCUAGAGGAAGACAAGAAAUAACUGAAAAUCCGAGCUGAAUUCAAAGAAACCGAGACAUGAAGAAAAAAAAAUUCAAAAGAUCUACGAAUUCAGGGUGAUGGCAUCAGCUGAGAAGGGAAGGAAGCCCAUGUGAGGACACUGAAGAAGGAGUGAGCAGACAAUAAGAAGCCCACAGAAGACAGAGAAGGAACAACUAGAGGGAGAAGCCAAGGCAGUUUCUCCACAGACACUACCCAAAGCAGUCCUUCACUACAGUGGCAGACAGACCUGAAAAUUUUCAUCUGAAGCAGCAGAGUGAACUGCAGAGUCAGAGAUAGAAUCUCACUAUGUUGACCAGGCUGGUCUUGAACUCUUGGCACCCAAGCGAUCCUUUUGCCUGGAAUCCCAAAGUGUCAGAUUUACUGAAGAAUAUUUCAUUGUAAUUACUUUUUAUACUUUAUAGGUCAAGAGCUCUGUUUUAAAGACAAAAUUUAUUGAAUAUACUUUUUCAAACAAAGUUUCAUGUUCUAAUCAUUGUCUGAUUUCAGCAUUAAAUGAAACACAGUAAAGAAAG